AGAGCAGGAUUCCAGCCCGGGACAGUGAAGACUACAACGGGCCUGGGAAGCCCCGGUGCUGUUAAAGCUCAAGCAAAGGCCAUGUUUAUACCACCAACGAAGGGCAUUUGAUUCCCAGCAUUAUGGAGACCAUGUGGAUUGUGGCCAAGAUGCAAGUUCAUCUAGUUAGCAGCUGCAGCUCCUCCUUGCUAAAUUCGGAGUCAGAAACUGGGAAAGGAAACCAACUCCAGUGACCAUCAGAGCAGUUAAUUACUGUGAAGAGCCUGUAGAUGGAAGCUGUGUACUUGUGCAGAGGAGAAAAACAGACUUUCUUGGAAUAAAGGUUUGACCAAAAGACUUCAGCUGAAUGUACAAUUUCUGACCAUCUGUACAUCAGUCUAGUGAAGACAGUUUAUUUUUUUUAACAAUGUGGGAAAAUACAGUGUGUGAAGGAGGGGGAAAGGAUAAACGGUAUGUUUUUAAAUGAAAAAAUGGAAGAAAAAUAUACAAGGGAAUAUAUAUGCCUGAAUUGAAGGCACAAGUAGUGCCUUCAGAAAACAUGUACUUA
RNAcentral lists this long non-coding RNA (547 nucleotides) under Mus musculus (house mouse). RNAcentral's name for it is "RIKEN cDNA 4930505K13 gene (4930505K13Rik)". Lineage: Eukaryota; Metazoa; Chordata; Mammalia; Rodentia; Muridae. The record is from RNAcentral.